CAUUGCCUACGGGGGGCAGCAGUGAGGAAUAUUGGUCAAUGGUCGGGAGACUGAACCAGCCAAGCCGCGUGAGGGAGGAAGGUACAGAGUAUCGUAAACCUCUUUUGUCAGGGAACAAAGGCGGGGACGUGUCCCCGGGUGAGUGUACCUGAAGAAAAAGCAUCGGCUAACUCCGUGCCAGCAGCCGCGGUAAUACGGAGGAUGCGAGCGUUAUCCGGAUUUAUUGGGUUUAAAGGGUGCGCAGGCGGAAGCGCAAGUCAGCGGUAAAAUUGAGAGGCUCAACCUCUUCCCGCCGGUGCAACUGC
This 305-nucleotide ribosomal RNA is filed under the name uncultured bacterium. RNAcentral's name for it is "bacterial SSU rRNA". It matches the Rfam family "Bacterial small subunit ribosomal RNA", at positions 333 to 636 of the family's 1533-position model. The record is from RNAcentral.